This 396-nucleotide long non-coding RNA is filed under the name Vigna radiata. RNAcentral describes it as "long non-coding RNA (VRAD_LNC008737)". Lineage: Eukaryota; Viridiplantae; Streptophyta; Magnoliopsida; Fabales; Fabaceae. The record is from RNAcentral.
UUUAUGAGUUUUUGGCUUUCUUGAAAUCAAUAAACAAAUAGUAAUGAAUCAAUAAGUAGAGAAAUAUCAACACAAAGAAGCUAUACUGGUUCAACUAUCACAAGCCUAUCCAGUCCUCCUUCAACAACCUUAGUUGAAGGGAAUCUACUAUAAUUAUUGAGUAUACAAGAAUACAGAGACAAUCCUCUAAAUGCAAUCCUCUCACCACUAAAAAUCAAUAUAGCAAUACAAGAGAUGAACAACCUCACCCUCUAACAACAACCAAGAGCAAUCCAGCCCUUAACCCUUGGUAAACCCGCGCAGGUACACAAUACACAAAUUGUUUAUGAAGAACCUGAUCUCUAACAAACACUCUUCAAGUGCAGAUUGAAUCAGAACCACUUUAGCACAAAGUCU